RNAcentral lists this unclassified non-coding RNA (1457 nucleotides) under Hevea brasiliensis (rubber tree). The record is from RNAcentral. Lineage: Eukaryota; Viridiplantae; Streptophyta; Magnoliopsida; Malpighiales; Euphorbiaceae.
ACCUUUAUAUGCAACUGUUUACACCAAAAGGGGAAAAAAACGGGUACCUUGCAAAAAGGAGUAUAACUUUGCAGUUUCAAGUCCCACUUCAACUACAACCCAAUCUGCAUUACAGGAUGGGAGUCUAAAACGACUGCAGUUUCAGCGUUUUUGAGGCCUGCAGAGACACUGGGCUCGCGUUGCAGCAAAAGAUUAGGCGGCGGCGCCCACGGUGGCGCCGGCGGUGAGCCUCGACGAGCCGUAGAGAGUCUCCUCGAACCGGAUGAUCUCGUUCUUGGAACCGUAGGCCACUUGAGUCCGCUCGUCGAGGUUGUUGAUCACCUUGUCCAGCACCGACUGUUUGCCGUCGCUGCUGUACCCGCCGGCUUUCUCUAUCAAGAAACCCAACGGCGCCACCUCGAACAGGAGCCUCAGCUUGGCCUUGGCUGUCGGAGACGUCACGUUGGUGAAGAUGCCCUUCUCCUUAACUAUGAUCUGGUUGACAUCAGGAACCAUUCCUCCAGUGUAACGCAAUGUGUACUUCUCCUUGACAUAGUAGUUGAUGAGCUUGUCAUAUUCAGGAUUAUCAAAUGUAGCCCUCAGGUUACCAGGAGAGAACAUUUUCCCCUCUCCAAUGGUUGUGGUGUCCUUGACAUGCUGCCAUUUUCCUUCAUCAAGAAGAAGGAAUUCAUGAGUUCCAGGACAAUCUUUGAGAGCGAUAAUGUAAGUAGUGCGAGGGCCAUAGAUGCCCAUGGCAGCAGCAACUUGGUCUCCACCGGUGACGCCUGUCAGCUUGUCACCAGGCCAGACACCAAAUAUGGUUCCAACUGUGAAGUUCGUGUCGACAAUGCUGGACCCAUCAAGAGGGUCGAAUGCUACACUGAAACCACCAUCGACUGGUCCACCCAUGUCUUGCAGCUCCGGGACUUCCUCGGAGCACGCAUACUUGCAGACAUGAGAGUAUUCCAGAGCCUCGAAGAGGAGCUUGUCGGCGAGCAUAUCGACGGCGAGCUGCUCGUCACCGAAGGAGUUGACGCAGGCGGUGCCGCCGCACGACGCCGUCCUGACCUUGAACGAGAUCGUCCUCAUCGCCUCCCCCAUGCAGAUGAGCAGCCUGAUGAGGUUCUUAUCCGGCGUCGCCUUGGUCAGGAACUCCUCCAGGCUGUCCCCGAUCUCGCACCGGGUGCUGAGCGCCGCCCGGCUCGCCGCCUUGGACUGCCUCCCAGACGGCAGCGACCUCGCCGUGUUAACCCGCAGCGACUCGCCGUAGAACGUGCUCGGCGGUCUAGCGGCCUUGGGCCUGUAGGACUGCGAGAAGGACAUGGCGGCGCAGCACGCUGGCGAGCGCGUCGCCGCCCCGCGGGUGUAGCUGGCCGCGGCCACCGUCUCCAUGGCCGGCCUAGCUAGUUAGUUAAUUCGCAGGGGUGACGCCGCCGGACGAGAAAACUUAAUGGCGAGGGAAAGAGAGGGGCAGGCAG